UUACGGGAGGCAGCAGUGGGGAAUAUUGGACAAUGGGCGCAAGCCUGAUCCAGCAAUGCCGCGUGAGUGAGGAAGGCCUUAGGGUUGUAAAGCUCUUUCGGCGGGGACGAUGAUGACGGUACCCGCAGAAGAAGCCCCGGCUAACUUCGUGCCAGCAGCCGCGGUAAUACGAAGGGGGCGAGCGUUGUUCGGAUUUACUGGGCGUAAAGGGCGCGCAGGCGGCGGACCAAGUCAGGCGUGAAAGCCCCGGGCUCAACCUGGGAACUGCGCCUGGGACUGGUUUGCUGGAGUUCGGGAGAGGAGCGUGGAAUUCCCAGUGUAGAGGUGAAAUUCGUAGAUAUUGGGAAGAACACCGGUGGCGAAGGCGGCGCUCUGGACCGAUACUGACGCUGAGGCGCGAAAGCGUGGGGAGCAAACAGGAUUAGAUACCCCGGUAGC
RNAcentral lists this ribosomal RNA (438 nucleotides) under uncultured bacterium. RNAcentral's name for it is "bacterial SSU rRNA". It matches the Rfam family "Bacterial small subunit ribosomal RNA", at positions 339 to 794 of the family's 1533-position model. The record is from RNAcentral.